UACGUAGGGGGCAAGCGUUGUCCGGAUUUAUUGGGCGUAAAGAGCGUGUAGGCGGCUAGGUAGGUCCGUUGUGAAAACUCGAGGCUCAACCUCGAGACGCCGAUGGAAACCAUCUGGCUAGAGUCCGGAAGAGGAGAGUGGAAUUCCUGGUGUAGCGGUGAAAUGCGUAGAUAUGCGGAGGAACACCGAUGGCGAAGGCAAUCCCCUGGGCCUGUACUGACGCUCAUGCACGAAAGCGUGGGGAGCAAACAGG
Molecule: ribosomal RNA, 253 nt
Filed under: uncultured bacterium
Lineage: Bacteria
Description: partial 16S ribosomal RNA
Rfam family: Bacterial small subunit ribosomal RNA
Source: RNAcentral